This 369-nucleotide ribosomal RNA is filed under the name uncultured Cupriavidus sp. RNAcentral describes it as "bacterial SSU rRNA". It matches the Rfam family "Bacterial small subunit ribosomal RNA", at positions 30 to 399 of the family's 1533-position model. Lineage: Bacteria; Pseudomonadati; Pseudomonadota; Betaproteobacteria; Burkholderiales; Burkholderiaceae. The record is from RNAcentral.
AUUGAACGCUGGCGGCAUGCCUUACACAUGCAAGUCGAACGGCAGCGCGGACUUCGGUCUGGCGGCGAGUGGCGAACGGGUGAGUAAUACAUCGGAACGUACCCUGUUGUGGGGGAUAACUAGUCGAAAGAUUAGCUAAUACCGCAUACGACCUGAGGGUGAAAGUGGGGGACCGCAAGGCCUCACGCAGCAGGAGCGGCCGAUGUCUGAUUAGCUAGUUGGUGGGGUAAAGGCCCACCAAGGCGACGAUCAGUAGCUGGUCUGAGAGGACGAUCAGCCACACUGGGACUGAGACACGGCCCAGACUCCUACGGGAGGCAGCAGUGGGGAAUUUUGGACAAUGGGGGCAACCCUGAUCCAGCAAUGCCG